RNAcentral lists this ribosomal RNA (756 nucleotides) under unidentified microorganism. RNAcentral's name for it is "bacterial SSU rRNA". It matches the Rfam family "Bacterial small subunit ribosomal RNA", at positions 79 to 850 of the family's 1533-position model. The record is from RNAcentral.
UUCGGGGGUACACGAGUGGCGAACGGGUGAGUAACACGUGGGUAAUCUGCCCUGCACUUCGGGAUAAGCCUGGGAAACCGGGUCUAAUACCGGAUAUGAGCUCCUGCCGCAUGGUGGGGGUUGGAAAGUUUUUCGGUGCAGGAUGAGUCCGCGGCCUAUCAGCUUGUUGGUGGGGUAAUGGCCUACCAAGGCGACGACGGGUAGCCGGCCUGAGAGGGUGAUCGGCCACACUGGGACUGAGACACGGCCCAGACUCCUACGGGAGGCAGCAGUGGGGAAUAUUGCACAAUGGGCGAAAGCCUGAUGCAGCGACGCCGCGUGGGGGAUGACGGUCUUCGGAUUGUAAACUCCUUUCAGUAGGGACGAAGCGAAAGUGACGGUACCUGCAGAAGAAGCACCGGCCAACUACGUGCCAGCAGCCGCGGUAAUACGUAGGGUGCAAGCGUUGUCCGGAAUUACUGGGCGUAAAGAGCUCGUAGGCGGUUUGUCACGUCGUCUGUGAAAUCCUCCAGCUCAACUGGGGGCGUGCAGGCGAUACGGGCAGACUUGAGUACUACAGGGGAGACUGGAAUUCCUGGUGUAGCGGUGAAAUGCGCAGAUAUCAGGAGGAACACCGGUGGCGAAGGCGGGUCUCUGGGUAGUAACUGACGCUGAGGAGCGAAAGCAUGGGGAGCAAACAGGAUUAGAUACCCUGGUAGUCCAUGCCGUAAACGGUGGGCGCUAGGUGUGGGGUCCUUCCACGGAUUCCGUGCCGUA